This 124-nucleotide small nuclear RNA is filed under the name Sorex araneus (European shrew). RNAcentral describes it as "U2 spliceosomal RNA (ENSSARG00000018536.1)". It matches the Rfam family "U2 spliceosomal RNA". Rfam says of the family: U2 is a small nuclear RNA (snRNA) component of the spliceosome (involved in pre-mRNA splicing). Lineage: Eukaryota; Metazoa; Chordata; Mammalia; Eulipotyphla; Soricidae. The record is from RNAcentral.
AUCACUUCUCAGCUUUUGGCUAAGAUCAAGUAUAAUAUUUGGUCUUAUCAGUUGAACGUCUAAUACAUCUAGUACAGAGGGUAGGUGCUUGCCUUACAGGUGGCCAACCCACGUCCAAUUCCCC